Molecule: long non-coding RNA, 339 nt
Filed under: Setaria viridis
Lineage: Eukaryota; Viridiplantae; Streptophyta; Magnoliopsida; Poales; Poaceae
Description: long non-coding RNA (SVIR_LNC003331)
Source: RNAcentral
GAAUCCUUGAUGAGAAGGUUUGCUCACCAAUUUUCUAGUCCCAAUGUGUGAAGAACACAUUCUAGAGUGUAUUUCUUGUGACAAGUUUUUUCCCUCUUCUGUGGAUAUGCACUUUAACAACGGUGUGCAUACUCCACUCUAUAUAAACAUUCCUCCUGCAUCAAAUAACUUCUUGCCCUCAAGGCCAUUCUUUUGUUGUCCGCGUCACUCCUGGCUCAUAGUACUCUCUCAAAAAUGUGAUUAUGGGCACUCGCCAAUCUUCGCUCAUGACAGCAUUCACAAACUUCACUGGGCUUCAUCACAAUUUAUUGAUUUGUACUUCAUGACUUCGUAGAACAC